AAUUUAAAAUUUUUAACCUAAAUUUCUUUUUUUUCUCUUCUCUCCCGCGCACCGCAAACCCACUUGAUUUCUUCUUCUUCUUCACGCCGACCGAACCUCACCCUCAGUCGAUGCCUUCAAUGGAACGUCGCCGCCUUCAAUGGAACGUCGCCACCUCCAAUCUCUCCUUCUCUUUCACCGUCUGCGCAAGCCGCUACGGCCGCGCACCCUUUUGUCCGCCCCACUCACGCGAAUUCCGACCGCCGCUCGUUCCCAAUCUCCUCUGUUCAAGCUUUGUCGAAGACCACCAGCGUCGCCCCCUUCCGCUCCCGAACUUCCCUUUUCGACUUCGGCCGGCGGUUUCUGCCCAAACCCAGCAACAGACGCCAACGCAUCCUCGCAAAGCAGCUGCUAGCGUCGUGGUUGCCGUCUCUUCGUCUGUCGCCGCGAGUUCCAAGCCAUGCACCGAAUCCGCUGCCACGAACCCCAAGCCGUGCACCAGAUCUGCCACGUUGAAGUCGAGUCGCUUGCUGCCGACGUUGGUUUCCUCCAAGCCGAGCUGCGAGUCAAACUGAACUGUGAACCAAGCCAAGCCGUUUUUCCAAGCCAAUCUCUCUGUUCACCGAGCCACUUAAGUCGUUUUCCUCCACGCGGAGUCAUGGCGAGUCUUUGGUGUUAAAAAGGUGACGCUCGAAUUCUUCGAUUAUACAGCAAGUUUAGUUUGGAGUCAAUUCUCCUUUACUUGGGUUGAUUCGUUUGGACGUUGACUUGAACAAAGAUUGUAGCUAAAUCUCAGGUAAGGGAUUUCUUACUAUUGGACCCCAAACCGAGACGAAAAACGUAGUAACUCAUAUGAAGAUUAUACGAUAGCGAUUGUACUGAAUUGAUUGAUGCAUGUAUGCCUAGAAAACAUCACUAGUAUGCACUCUUGACUGAUUAAAGGUGACAUGAUUGUUAGUUUUAGCUUAUACAUAUAUAGAUGUGAAUGGGUUGUUCUGCUGAUGGAAUACGAUGUCCGGAUGUUCUGUGUAAUAUAACUAUAUUGAUGGGUCGUGUUGUUAACUGAAAUAGUGAGGUCAAUGGAGUAAGAAAAUCUUGAUGUUAUGUAUAGCUGAAUUAUGUUGUUGGGUUGCAUAUUAUUGAGUUAUGUCGUUGAUGGACUAAGGGUUCAGGACCUCAUGUGUAGAUUGUGUAUUCGCUGAUGGACUGUGCUGUAGACUGAAUAUGGACGUUAUGCAUAAUAUGGACGUUAUGCAUAAUAUGAAUGUUAUGCACAAUAUAGAUUACUUGUAGUUGUGCUAGGGUUUGGACUGAGACGAAGUGAUUGUUCGGUGAAUUUACAAAGUGAUGAUUUGAUUCGUUGACUAGAUUUAGGUAAUGUAACAGUAUUGUGUGGAUUGGAUAUAUGUAUAGUGACAGAUGAGACUGUUGACUAAACCUAAAUUGUCUGACUGACUAAGGUUAUAAAAUGAACUGCUAGUUGAACGAUAUUGUGAUGUGACUGUUGUAGACGGUUUAGUAUGGACUGAGGGGUAAUGGUUAGCAUUAUUUAUGGGGUAGUGUACCUUGAAGACACGGUGUCCUUCGGGAUUCUUAGAUUGAUAUGUGCAUCAUUCGGGAUCUCUAGACUGAUAUGUGCAUCCUUCGGGAUCCCUAGACUGAUAUGUGCAUCAUUCGGGAUCACUAGACUAAUAUAUGAAUUCAACGGAAUCAUUAGACUGAUACGUGUAUCCUUCGGGAUUCCUAGAUUGAUUGAUGUGUGCGUUUUACGGAACCAUUAGACUGUUUUAUGUAGAGUACUCUUUAAUAGGAAGCUAACUGUUAUUACCCUAACGGGUCCAGUAGUGGGUCUCUUACUGGGUAUAUUUUUAUACUCACCCUUUACUAUUUAACUUUUUCAAGCAAAGGUAACACGAGGAACAGACUGGCGAGAGGCAAGAAGGAUUCAUGAAGGCCAUAUAGACAUGUCUGAUUGCUUCCGCUGAACGUAUUUGUCAUUUCUGUUUCUUUUUAAUUAUUAAAUGGAGUCAUGGUUAGAACAACUGUUCUUCUGUUUUGUUUUAAUGACUUCAUGGAUUAUGUUUUGAAACUUUUGGAAAGCGACUUAAAAUAGGGCCCGAAAUUGCUUUUCUUAUGUAUUAAAGGUUUUUAAUGAAUCGUUAACAAGUCUUUUUAUAAGUUUGUGUGUUUUACUGUCGAGUCUUAGCAGUAGGUAGUAAUCUCAGCUUAGUCCGAAAGGUUGGGUCGUUACAGUUGGUAUUAGAGCCUAAGUUUUAAGUUCUGUAGACUAACUUAUGAUGUGAGUCUAUGUUUUGUGGAAACCUAAAUGAUUGUUGAAGGUUGAAGACUUUUGACCAUUUUUAUGUUUAAUUCUUGUUGAGAAAUUUUUUAUCAUGUCAUGUUCUGUUGUAGGAACUGUUGGGUUGAAAUGAAUAAGAGAAGUUUACUAAUUUACUU
Molecule: long non-coding RNA, 2436 nt
Organism: Cucumis melo (muskmelon)
Lineage: Eukaryota; Viridiplantae; Streptophyta; Magnoliopsida; Cucurbitales; Cucurbitaceae
Exons: 3
Source: RefSeq, a predicted model, not a curated record